Molecule: ribosomal RNA, 419 nt
Filed under: uncultured eukaryote
Lineage: Eukaryota
Description: SSU rRNA
Rfam family: Eukaryotic small subunit ribosomal RNA
Source: RNAcentral
CAAUAGCGUAUAUUAAAGUUGUUGCAGUUAAAAGCUCGUAGUUGGAUUUCUGGUGGGAGCAUUCGGUCCGUUCCGCAAGGAAUGCGCACUGGUAAUGCCUCCGGCCACUUUUGUGUCGAACGUUUCUGUCAUUAAGUUGUCGGGGAUGGGAGAUGCAUCAUUUACUGUGAAAAAUUAGAGUGUUUAAAGCAGGCAAUCGCUGUGAAUACAUUAGCAUGGAAUAAUAAGAUAGGACUUUGGUGCUAUUUUGUUGGUUUGCACACCAAGGUAAUGAUUAACAGGGACAGUUGGGGGUAUUCGUAUUUAGAUGUCAGAGGUGAAAUUCUUGGAUUUUCGAAAGACGAACUUCUGCGAAAGCAUUUACCAAGGAUGUUUUCAUUAAUCAAGAACGAAAGUUAGGGGAUCGAAGACGAUCAGAU